AGAGUUUGAUCAUGGCUCAGAGUGAACGCUGGCGGCAGGCCUAACACAUGCAAGUCGAACGGCAGCACGAGAGAGCUUGCUCUCUUGGUGGCGAGUGGCGGACGGGUGAGUAAUACAUCGGAAUCUACCCUGUCGUGGGGGAUAACGUAGGGAAACUUACGCUAAUACCGCAUACGACCUACGGGUGAAAGCAGGGGAUCUUCGGACCUUGCGCGAUUGGAUGAGCCGAUGUCGGAUUAGCUAGUUGGCGGGGUAAAGGCCCACCAAGGCGACGAUCCGUAGCUGGUCUGAGAGGAUGAUCAGCCACACUGGAACUGAGACACGGUCCAGACUCCUACGGGAGGCAGCAGUGGGGAAUAUUGGACAAUGGGCGCAAGCCUGAUCCAGCCAUGCCGCGUGGGUGAAGAAGGCCUUCGGGUUGUAAAGCCCUUUUGUUGGGAAAGAAAAGCAUUCGGUUAAUACCCGAGUGUUCUGACGGUACCCAAAGAAUAAGCACCGGCUAACUUCGUGCCAGCAGCCGCGGUAAUAC
RNAcentral lists this ribosomal RNA (529 nucleotides) under uncultured bacterium. RNAcentral's name for it is "bacterial SSU rRNA". It matches the Rfam family "Bacterial small subunit ribosomal RNA", at positions 8 to 526 of the family's 1533-position model. The record is from RNAcentral.